AUUGAACGCUGGCGGCAUGCCUUACACAUGCAAGUCGAACGGUAACGGGCCUUCGGGUGCCGACGAGUGGCGAACGGGUGAGUAAUACAUCGGAACGUGCCCGAUCGUGGGGGAUAACGAGGCGAAAGCUUUGCUAAUACCGCAUACGAUCUACGGAUGAAAGCAGGGGACCGCAAGGCCUUGCGCGGACGGAGCGGCCGAUGGCAGAUUAGGUAGUUGGUGGGAUAAAAGCUUACCAAGCCGACGAUCUGUAGCUGGUCUGAGAGGAUGAUCAGCCACGCUGGGACUGAGACACGGCCCAGACUCCUACGGGAGGCAGCAGUGGGGAAUUUUGGACAAUGGGCGCAAGCCUGAUCCAGCCAUGCCGCGUGCAGGAUGAAGGCCUUCGGGUUGUAAACUGCUUUUGUACGGAACGAAAAGCCUUCUUUUAAUACAGGAGGGUCAUGACGGUACCGGAAGAAUAAGCACCGGCUAACUACGUG
Molecule: ribosomal RNA, 482 nt
Filed under: uncultured bacterium
Lineage: Bacteria
Description: partial 16S ribosomal RNA
Rfam family: Bacterial small subunit ribosomal RNA
Source: RNAcentral